GAUUAAGUUAUUAAGGGCGCACGGUGGAUGCCUUGGCACUAGAAGCCGAUGAAGGACGUUACUAACGACGAUAUGCUUUGGGGAGCUGUAAGUAAGCUUUGAUCCAGAGAUUUCCGAAUGGGGAAACCCAGCACGAGUUAUGUCGUGUUAUCUGCAUGUGAAUACAUAGCAUGCAAGAAGGCAGACCCGGAGAACUGAAACAUCUUAGUACCCGGAGGAAGAGAAAGAAAAAUCGAUUCCCUGAGUAGCGGCGAGCGAAACGGGAAGAGCCCAAACCAAUAAGCUUGCUUAUUGGGGUUGUAGGACACUCUGUAC
Molecule: ribosomal RNA, 315 nt
Filed under: Acinetobacter baumannii
Lineage: Bacteria; Pseudomonadati; Pseudomonadota; Gammaproteobacteria; Moraxellales; Moraxellaceae
Description: partial 23S ribosomal RNA
Rfam family: Bacterial large subunit ribosomal RNA
Source: RNAcentral